Molecule: ribosomal RNA, 568 nt
Filed under: uncultured bacterium
Lineage: Bacteria
Description: bacterial SSU rRNA
Rfam family: Bacterial small subunit ribosomal RNA
Source: RNAcentral
CCUACGGGAGGCAGCAGUGGGGAAUAUUGCACAAUGGGCGCAAGCCUGAUGCAGCAACGCCGCGUGAGGGACGACGGCCUUCGGGUUGUAAACCUCUUUUAGUAGGGAAGAAGCGAAGGUGACGGUACCUGCAGAAAAAGCACCGGCUAACUACGUGCCAGCAGCCGCGGUAAUACGUAGGGUGCAAGCGUUAUCCGGAAUUAUUGGGCGUAAAGAGCUCGUAGGCGGUUUGUCGCGUCUGCUGUGAAAACUGGAGGCUCAACCUCCAGCCUGCAGUGGGUACGGGCAAACUAGAGUGCGGUAGGGGAGAUUGGAAUUCCUGGUGUAGCGGUGGAAUGCGCAGAUAUCAGGAGGAACACCGAUGGCGAAGGCAGAUCUCUGGGCCGUAACUGACGCUGAGGAGCGAAAGCAUGGGGAGCGAACAGGAUUAGAUACCCUGGUAGUCCAUGCCGUAAACGUUGGGCGCUAGAUGUGGGGACCAUUCCACGGUUUCCGUGUCGCAGCUAACGCAUUAAGCGCCCCGCCUGGGGAGUACGGCCGCAAGGCUAAAACUUAAAGGAAUUGACGG